This 354-nucleotide ribosomal RNA is filed under the name uncultured bacterium. RNAcentral describes it as "bacterial SSU rRNA". It matches the Rfam family "Bacterial small subunit ribosomal RNA", at positions 72 to 424 of the family's 1533-position model. The record is from RNAcentral.
GUACUAGCCUGCUAGUAUGUCAGCUAAGUGGCGGACGGGUGAGUAAUGUAUAGUUAAUCUGCCCCCUAGAGAGGGAUAACUACUGGAAACGGUAGCUAAUACCUCAUACUCCUUCUUCCUUAAUGGAAGUUGGGAAAUGUCUUUUCGCUAGGGGAUGAGACUAUAUGGUAUCAGGUAGUUGGUGGGGUAAGAGCCCACCAAGCCAAUGACGCCUAGCUGGUCUGAGAGGAUGAUCAGCCACACUGGAACUGAGACACGGUCCAGACUCCUACGGGAGGCAGCAGUGGGGAAUAUUGCACAAUGGAGGAAACUCUGAUGCAGCAACGCCGCGUGGAGGAUGACACAUUUCGGUGC